RNAcentral lists this transfer-messenger RNA (355 nucleotides) under Candidatus Latescibacterota bacterium. It matches the Rfam family "transfer-messenger RNA". From Rfam's summary of the family: Bacterial tmRNA, also known as 10Sa RNA or SsrA, is named for its dual tRNA and mRNA-like properties. Its role is to liberate the mRNA from a stalled ribosome. Lineage: Bacteria; Pseudomonadati; Candidatus Latescibacterota. The record is from RNAcentral. RNAcentral also lists the same sequence under 1 other name.
GGGGGCGAAUGGAUUCGACGGGGAUGGAUGAAGCAGGAGAAGCGUGCCGAGGUGCCAUCAACCUCGUAAAUCAGGUGGCAAACCAUAAUUGCCAACGACAAUUUGGCAUUGGCUGCCUAGAACAGGCAACCCGUCCGCCAGGUCCGUGCCUUGAGGGUCCUGAUCCGGGCGUCGAUUUCUGAGGGCUAGCCUUCGUUUUUUCUCCCGGAACGAUAGCGAAAUAAAAGAGGAGAUAGUUUCCCGGAUCAUUUGCCUGUCGAAGUACCGGGCGGCGAACAAAAAUCGACUGGCUACGCACGUAGAAGAACUGUGGAAGUAUUUCCGGACGUGGGUUCGAUUCCCACCGCCUCCACCA